Molecule: non-coding RNA, 30 nt
Filed under: Rattus norvegicus (Norway rat)
Lineage: Eukaryota; Metazoa; Chordata; Mammalia; Rodentia; Muridae
Source: RNAcentral
UGUAUUUGUGGACAUGAGGAUGGUUAUGAU